This 492-nucleotide ribosomal RNA is filed under the name uncultured bacterium. Its description in RNAcentral is "partial 16S ribosomal RNA". It matches the Rfam family "Bacterial small subunit ribosomal RNA", at positions 29 to 507 of the family's 1533-position model. The record is from RNAcentral.
AGUGAACGCUGGCGGUAGGCCUAACACAUGCAAGUCGAACGGCAGCACAGUAAGAUCUUGCUUUUACGGGUGGCGAGUGGCGGACGGGUGAGGCAUACAUCGGAAUCUACUUUUUCGGGGGGGAUAACGUAGGAACACUUACGCUAAUACCGCAUACGACCUACGGGUGAAAGCAGGAGAUCUUGGGAGCUUGCGUGAUAGAAUUAGCCGAUGUCGGAUUAGCUGGUUGGCGUGGUAAAGGCCCACCAAGGCAACGAUCCGUAGCUGAUCUGAGAGGAUGAUCGGCCACACUGGAACUGAGACACGGUCCAGACUCCUACGGGAGGCAGCAGUGGGGAAUAUUGCGCAAUGGGCGCAAGCCUGAUGCAGCCAUGCCGCGUGAGUGAUGAAGGCCUUCGGGUUGUAAAGCCCUUUUGUUAGGAAAGAACAGCAGUGUAAGUAACCGCGGCUGUCCUGACGGUACCUAAUGAGUAAGCACCGGCUAACUUCGUG